Molecule: long non-coding RNA, 234 nt
Filed under: Vigna radiata
Lineage: Eukaryota; Viridiplantae; Streptophyta; Magnoliopsida; Fabales; Fabaceae
Description: long non-coding RNA (VRAD_LNC010016)
Source: RNAcentral
UUUCUUUUCUUUCUUUAUUUUCACAUUUUUCUUCUUUUUUUCUUUUCUUUCAACCACUGCUUUUCCUUUCUCAUCAUCCUUCUUACUCUCAUUCAACUUUUUUGUUUCCUCUAUCUUUUCUACAGCAACAACUUUCUCUGUUUUUAUUUCCUCUUCAUACAUCUCUAGCUCUUCUUCUUCUAUCUUUUCCUCCUUGACAACCUUAUCAUUUGUAAAGACUUGACAUUCUUCUUU